This is a microRNA precursor of Equus asinus (donkey), 135 nucleotides long. NCBI's taxonomy places the organism in Eukaryota, Metazoa, Chordata, Mammalia, Perissodactyla, Equidae. The record is from Ensembl.
GUUCACCUUUUGGAGGUGGAUUACACUUUUCAGGACACCAGAGGACCAUAGAGCAAAUUACUUCUUCCAGAGUGCUAAAUGAUCCCCUGGUGCCCUAGAAAGAGCCGUUUACCUCCAAAAGGUGAGUUGUUUAUU